This is a long non-coding RNA of Ailuropoda melanoleuca (giant panda), 559 nucleotides long. RefSeq lists it as uncharacterized. The transcript has 3 exons. The record is from RefSeq and is a predicted model, not a curated record. NCBI's taxonomy places the organism in Eukaryota, Metazoa, Chordata, Mammalia, Carnivora, Ursidae.
UCUAUGCUCUGUGUGGGACUUAAACUCAUGGCCCCAAGAUCAAGCAUCGCAUGCUGCACUGAGUGAGCCAGCCAGGUGCCUUAUGAGGAUUAGGUGAAGAAUUAUUUAGAUGUUUUAAUAUCAGAAACAUAGUCAGAACAGAAAAGCGACUCUCAAGUUCUGCCUACCUGCUAAAAUUCAUGACUAAGAAGAAUUAUAAUUUUUCUGAGCUAGAACAUUGAACCAAUCAAGGACACGAGAUACCACCAGGGGACAGUAGAGUCUCUGCCACCAACAGAAAUCAUCACACAAACAGAAAUAGUGCAGUGAACUUUGUGCUUGAGAGCUCCCAAAAUGAUAAGAAUCUUCUUCCAGGAGCUGGAAGUGAUUUGAUCAAAAAAGGAUAUUGAUUAUUAAUUUACAACAACACCAGGAAUUAUUUCAACAUUACUCAACAACAAUUCCCCAUUAUGCUAGAGAAGACAACAUAAGAAGACAACAAUUUGGAAUUGCCUAGAACAUUGAUUCAAUAGUAAAACAAAUCAUCACUAUUACAUCAUUCUUGUAUUAUCUUAUUAUA